ACUAUCUUUUUUAAAAAUUUUUAAUCCUCUUGCUUGGAAGGCAAGUGUACUUUAUCAUACUCAAAAGAC
RNAcentral lists this transfer RNA (69 nucleotides) under Buccinum undatum (waved whelk). Its description in RNAcentral is "tRNA-Gly". The record is from RNAcentral. Lineage: Eukaryota; Metazoa; Mollusca; Gastropoda; Neogastropoda; Buccinidae.